RNAcentral lists this transfer RNA (73 nucleotides) under Stegodyphus mimosarum. It matches the Rfam family "tRNA". Rfam says of the family: Transfer RNA (tRNA) molecules are approximately 80 nucleotides in length. Their secondary structure includes four short double-helical elements and three loops (D, anti-codon, and T loops). Further hydrogen bonds mediate the characteristic L-shaped molecular structure. tRNAs have two regions of fundamental functional importance: the anti-codon, which is responsible for specific mRNA codon recognition, and the 3' end, to which the tRNAs corresponding amino acid is attached (by aminoacyl-tRNA synthetases). tRNAs cope with the degeneracy of the genetic code in two manners: having more than one tRNA (with a specific anti-codon) for a particular amino acid; and 'wobble' base-pairing, i.e. permitting non-standard base-pairing at the 3rd anti-codon position. The record is from Rfam by way of RNAcentral. Lineage: Eukaryota; Metazoa; Arthropoda; Arachnida; Araneae; Eresidae.
GCCUUCGUGGUGUAGUGGUCAGCACACUCGACGCGUAUUCCAGAGAAUCGUGGUUCGAAUCCCGGCGAAGGCA